Molecule: ribosomal RNA, 253 nt
Filed under: uncultured bacterium
Lineage: Bacteria
Description: partial 16S ribosomal RNA
Rfam family: Bacterial small subunit ribosomal RNA
Source: RNAcentral
UACGGAGGGGGGGAGCGUUAUUCGGAAUUAUUGGGCGUAAAGGGCGCGUAGGCGGCCCGGUAAGUCAAAGGUGAAAUCCCUCGGCUCAACUGAGGAACUGCCUUUGAAACUGUCGGGCUUGAGGCCGGGAGGGGGUAGCGGAAUUCCCAGUGUAGCGGUGAAAUGCGUAGAUACUGGGAGGAACACCAGUGGCGAAGGCGGCUACCUGGACCGGUUCUGACGCUGAUGCGCGAAAGCGUGGGUAGCAAACAGG